RNAcentral lists this long non-coding RNA (846 nucleotides) under Mytilus galloprovincialis (Mediterranean mussel). Lineage: Eukaryota; Metazoa; Mollusca; Bivalvia; Mytilida; Mytilidae. The record is from RNAcentral.
CGCAUAAGGUACCAUAACACGUAACUUGUCAAGAAGCCAAAUAAUAUCGAACAAAUUCAAAUGGGAUGUUGUUUUUCUCAUUCUGAAUACAUGUAUAUCUGUAUUUGUCCUGGUCUUUUAAGGUUUUAUCGUCUAUAAGAUAAUAUAUAUUUUAACCGGAGAACAUCUCACAUCAGUUGUUCAUAGAACACCUUGUGUUACUAACACAUGUUAUAUUAUAUAUGGCCUUUUCUGGCAUUUUAACAAAUCGGCCAUUCGUUGUGAUACAGAUGCAACAGAUUCUUGAUGUUUUACCUACAAUCACGAUGUGUAGUGUAAUUGAUUUGGUUUUUUUUGGUGUUGUCUUAUUUUCUGAUGACUUAGGUACCGGUGCAGGGAAGGUUGUAAAAAUGUCAGUACUAGUAUCUACACAGUUAGUGAAUUGGCGACAAAACUGAUUGCUGUUGACUGCAUUUGUUACAUAUUAUACCAUGUUCAAAAAAGGUUUCGAAAAAUUGUUUGUGUUGUUUUGAAACUUGUAUACAAUGGCCUUAUUUUAUGUUAUGUAUAUAUUACACACGCAACAGUUGGGAUUUAUUGCUAAAACAUAGAAUUCUCGUGUUAUUGGUUAUGUACAGGCACCUAUUUCAGUUUGACGGCAGUUGUUUCUUGCAUAUGUUAUAAAUGUAAACACAUGAAUAGAAAGGCAAGAGUAUGGACAGUCAUAGGAAUGCACACAAUAAGCGAUACAGUACUUUUUUCUUUAAUCAAAUGAUUUAUACUAUAUAGUCAAAAUGAACCAGAAUGACUAUGAGUUAAGCAAACAUCCGGAAAAAUAUGAUAGAAACAUUAAAAUUUAAUAUAACA